RNAcentral lists this ribosomal RNA (622 nucleotides) under Symbiodinium sp. H1a. RNAcentral's name for it is "partial 23S ribosomal RNA". It matches the Rfam family "Bacterial large subunit ribosomal RNA", at positions 1929 to 2618 of the family's 2925-position model. The record is from RNAcentral. Lineage: Eukaryota; Dinophyceae; Suessiales; Symbiodiniaceae.
GACGGCUGUAACUAUAACGGUCCUAAGGUAGCAAAUUUCCUUGUCGUCUUAAUAACGACCUGCAUGAAACAUAGAACGAUUCGAUAGCUGUCUUGCACAAACAUCAUGGUAAAAUAUUCAUCAGUACAAAUAAUAUGCUGCCGAACUAAAGGACAAAAAGACCCUUUGAAGCUUUAUAGGGAUAAAACUUGGGUAACAUCUUGAUCUAAAUAGUCUUAUUGCAUACCAGCUAAAGUAGUACGUCCCUACGUACAGAUUCCUGAUCUCUCCUAAGACCACUGUUUAAUUGGGGCGAUAACCUUAUCAAAAGCCAACUAAGGUGAACAAAGUGAUACAAGGACCCUAGAUACUAAUUUGACCAACUAAUAAGUGCAAAGAUACAUGUUUUGCUUAAUGGCCCAACAAGUCCUUCCCAGUACUUAAAUGCUAUCUUAAUGAGCUUUAAAUUAAUCUACCCGAGUGAAGCUACUCUACGGAUAACAGGCUUAAUUUCCGCAAUAUCGAAGGUCACAUUAUCAAGAAAAAUGCACAUCGAUGUCGGCUUAUCAGAGCAAAAUACGCAGCUAAAUUAUUGGUGGGAGUGCUCAUCCCAUAAUUCGGUAGGUGAGCUGGGUUCAAUACG